CCUACGGGUGGCAGCAGUAGGGAAUAUUGCUCAAUGGGGGAAACCCUGAAGCAGCAACGCCGCGUGGAGGAUGAAGGUUUUCGGAUUGUAAACUCCUUUUGUUAGAGAAGAUAAUGACGGUAUCUAACGAAUAAGCACCGGCUAACUCCGUGCCAGCAGCCGCGGUAAUACGGAGGGUGCAAGCGUUACUCGGAAUCACUGGGCGUAAAGAGCGCGUAGGCGGGAUAGCAAGUCAGAUGUGAAAUCCUAUGGCUUAACCAUAGAACUGCAUUUGAAACGGUUAUUCUAGAGUAUGGGAGAGGUAGGUGGAAUUCUUGGUGUAGGGGUAAAAUGCGUAGAUAUCAAGAGGAAUACUCAUUGCGAAGGCGGCCUGCUAGAACAUAACUGACGCUGAUGCGCGAAAGCGUGGGGAGCAAACAGGAUUAGAUACCCCGGUAGUC
This 440-nucleotide ribosomal RNA is filed under the name uncultured bacterium. Its description in RNAcentral is "partial 16S ribosomal RNA". It matches the Rfam family "Bacterial small subunit ribosomal RNA", at positions 338 to 795 of the family's 1533-position model. The record is from RNAcentral.